GACGAACGCUGGCGGCGUGCUUAACACAUGCAAGUCGAACGGAAAGGCCCUGCUUUUGUGGGGUGCUCGAGUGGCGAACGGGUGAGUAACACGUGAGUAACCUGCCCUUGACUUUGGGAUAACUUCAGGAAACUGGGGCUAAUACCGGAUAGGAGCUCCUGCUGCAUGGUGGGGGUUGGAAAGUUUCGGCGGUUGGGGAUGGACUCGCGGCUUAUCAGCUUGUUGGUGGGGUAGUGGCUUACCAAGGCUUUGACGGGUAGCCGGCCUGAGAGGGUGACCGGCCCCAUUGGGACUGGGAUACGGCCCAGACCCCUACGGGGGGCAACGGGGGGGAAUUUUGCCCAAGGGGCGGACGCCUGAUGCAGCAACCCCGCGUGCGGGAUGACGGCCUUCGGUUUGUAAACCGCUUUCGCCUGUGACGAAGCGUGGGUGACGGUAAUGGGGAAAGAAGCCCCGGCUAACUACGU
Molecule: ribosomal RNA, 467 nt
Filed under: uncultured bacterium
Lineage: Bacteria
Description: partial 16S ribosomal RNA
Rfam family: Bacterial small subunit ribosomal RNA
Source: RNAcentral